Molecule: ribosomal RNA, 223 nt
Filed under: uncultured bacterium
Lineage: Bacteria
Description: partial 16S ribosomal RNA
Rfam family: Bacterial small subunit ribosomal RNA
Source: RNAcentral
UAACGCGUGGAUAACCUGCCUCACACAGGGGGAUAACAGUUGGAAACGGCUGCUAAUACCGCAUAAGCGCACAGCACCGCAUGGUGCAGUGUGAAAAACUCCGGUGGUGUGAGAUGGAUCCGCGUCUGAUUAGCUGGUUGGCGGGGUAACGGCCCACCAAGGCGACGAUCAGUAGCCGGCCUGAGAGGGCGACCGGCCACAUUGGGACUGAGACACGGCCCAG